UACCAGCACCCCGAGUGGUCGGGACGUUUAUUGGGCCUAAAGCAUCCGUAGCCGGUUCUACAAGUCUUCCGUUAAAUCCACCUGCUUAACAGAUGGGCUGCGGAAGAUACUAUAGAGCUAGGAGGCGGGAGAGGCAAGCGGUACUCGAUGGGUAGGGGUAAAAUCCGUUGAUCCAUUGAAGACCACCAGUGGCGAAGGCGGCCUGCCAGAACGCGCUCGACGGUGAGGGAUGAAAGCUGGGGGAGCAAACCGG
This 253-nucleotide ribosomal RNA is filed under the name uncultured bacterium. RNAcentral describes it as "partial 16S ribosomal RNA". It matches the Rfam family "Archaeal small subunit ribosomal RNA", at positions 474 to 727 of the family's 1478-position model. The record is from RNAcentral.